UACAGAGGGGGCGAGCGUUGUUCGGAAUUACUGGGCGUAAAGCGUGCGCAGGCGGUUAUGCAAGACAGAUGUGAAAUCCCCGGGCUCAACCUGGGAACUGCAUUUGUGACUGCAUGGCUAGAGUACGGUAGAGGGGGAUGGAAUUCCGCGUGUAGCAGUGAAAUGCGUAGAUAUGCGGAGGAACACCGAUGGCGAAGGCAAUCCCCUGGACCUGUACUGACGCUCAUGCACGAAAGCGUGGGGAGCAAACAGG
RNAcentral lists this ribosomal RNA (253 nucleotides) under uncultured bacterium. RNAcentral's name for it is "partial 16S ribosomal RNA". It matches the Rfam family "Bacterial small subunit ribosomal RNA", at positions 524 to 776 of the family's 1533-position model. The record is from RNAcentral.